GAUUAAAGUGUAAUUGUUUGGUGGUUUUGUACACAGCACGAAGCAUAAUAAACAAAGCCAACUUUUUUUUUUUUCUCUCUCUCUCUCUCUCUCUCUCUCUAAAUAGUAGAUCUUUUUGGUGUAUUCCCAAUAUCUUCAAAACCCUAUUUCUUGGUUUGGUAACAUUGCUUGCAGAGAAUUUUCUAACCAAAUAAUGUUGGUUGCAGUGUUAAUUUGGAAGAUGUUACCGCCUUUGGACUCCCCUCAAUUGAAGACUUUCUUAUUAUGAGCCAGAGGUGAAAUGGAAUUUCACAAGUGGUUUGCAGAGACCACUAGCAAAGCAGAGCAGAGAUGCCCAAAGAGCAGAGACUGAAAUAACAGCAAGUAAUUCUGCCAAUAUGUGUAACCACAAGGAGAGAAAAUUGAGUGGUUAAAAGUUUUGGCAGUGAACCUAGACGUGAUUGCGAGCAACGUAAAAGGUAGCUAGAGAAUAUCAAGUGCAGGUUCCAGCAGCUAGAAAGUUGAGGGGUAAUAUUAAGCGGUUGACCCACAUUUAUUCUCAUGAAAAUCAGUAUUGGCCUAAUAUGUGCUACAGAAACAUGCAAAUAUGCUGGGCCAACAGCAUGUGCUUCUAGUACAUAUGCUUUGACUGUAGAAAAUGUUGAAAAGGACUUGAUCGCAUGCAGAUGGAAUUGAAAGAACAAGGUAUCGGAAGGCCAGAAAUCAAUUUAGUAAUUUAUAAUAUCCUUCAUUUGACCAGCAAUUCUGAUCAUGAAUCUGACCAGGUUAACUUUCUUCUGAUGGAUUCCCUUUUCUCUCGGUUGGUUCGGCUACUCAGAGGCCAAUAUUUAUUGUCUGUAUACACAGUGACCAUUGAAAUUCUUCUCUAUAUAUAGCUGUGAAACAAUUUGUUUCUCAAUACAACAAGCUAAGAAGAAGAAAAAUUGUAUGUCAGCUGUCCCCUGGAGUUUCCCUGACCACUUCACUGGUACUCUUAAUCCUCAGACUUAGACUGAGCCACUGAGGUUAAUCUAAGCCCACUGAAGUGUUUGGGGGAACUCUGGUUGCCAUCUGACUGUUGAUUUGCAAGAAAAGGGUAAUUGUUAAGUAACGGCAAGUCUUUUGGUUCAUAAUAUUCUUCACUGCAUUUGAUAUUUUUGUAAUUUCUUUCUUUUUGUUUCAGUCAUCUGUCUUCUCUUGGUCUUUUGUGCAUAAGUUGAGCCGCUGCAGUAGUCAUCUACAGCUUAUAUCUUAGUUUGCUUCCCGAAGGAAACAUCAUUAUCACCCUGAACGAGACAAAACCAUAGGAAAUUUCAUUAAGAGUAUUUUUACAUUAUGAUAAAACACACAAGACUUAUUUUAUAUUUUCUAUUGCACUAGCUGGCUUUUUUUUUUAUUAAGCUGCAGUUUGUUGGCAAAGCAAUAUUUAAUAGAUGUCUAAGCGCUAAGCUAUAGGAUUCACAAUUUAGACCCUAGGUUGCUCUCAAAGAGUUUAAUAAUCACCAUCUAUAUAGACAUAACAUUACUAUUGGUCCAUGUGUAUGCUCGUGUAUUAGUAGAUCUUAGAAAUAAUUCAUUGAACUUUGAAUUGAUUUGCAAACACAUAGAUCGGUAGUGAUGCGAUACAAGUAUUGCCUAACCAUUCAUAAUACAUGUACAUAUUAGGUAGGUUGCAGGUGUAGAUGAGUUUAAAAGAUGGAACUGAUUACUCAUAUAGGAUCAGGAUGGUUUCACGUAUGGUGGAAUAGAUUUACGAACAAGCAUAGAGAAUUUCUGGGAAUAAGUUGUAUGCCAAAUUCUUUAUAUAUUAGUUAACAAAGCAUCAACUCUUCUGAGCACUGCAGUUGGGUUGGGUUUGCUCAGGAUGUUAGUGUUCUUCAUGCUCCUUUCACUACAGCUACGUUCAAAGUGGCAUCAUCAGUCCAUGACCAAUUAAAGUAACUGCAAAUGGUAAGAAGACUUUCUUCAUCAUUAUUGAAUGCCAUACAACAUGUAUCUACGAUUUUCCUUUCUUUCAUUUUUUUUCUUAUGCAAUUUGAGAGUGAAGAUGUUUUGUUUUGUUAUUUACUGUAAAGGGAUGCCAAAAACUGAUAGGUUGCUAAUGAGUUAAGAGUUGGAAAUUGAUCACACUUUUUCUUCAUUGAUUUUGGGAGCAGAGUGGAAGUUAAAAGUUCCAUGUCUAUGAUGAGUGGAAUAUUUUUGUUAAUGUUAAGACUUGGGAGGUCUUAGAGGCUGCAAAGAACUUAACUACUUAUAUUGCUGUCUAGCUAUCUGGGGAACAGCCACUAGUGUUCUAAAUUAAAGAUUUUAUUUUAUUUUAUUUUA
Ziziphus jujuba (common jujube) is the source of this 2304-nucleotide long non-coding RNA. RefSeq lists it as uncharacterized. The record is from RefSeq and is a predicted model, not a curated record. NCBI's taxonomy places the organism in Eukaryota, Viridiplantae, Streptophyta, Magnoliopsida, Rosales, Rhamnaceae. The transcript has 4 exons.